GGGACCCUUCCGUGCUUGGCCACUUCGGACCGCGCCCCCGGGUUCUGGCGGUCUGCCCGGA
RNAcentral lists this ribosomal RNA (61 nucleotides) under Capsicum annuum. RNAcentral's name for it is "partial 26S ribosomal RNA". Lineage: Eukaryota; Viridiplantae; Streptophyta; Magnoliopsida; Solanales; Solanaceae. The record is from RNAcentral.